RNAcentral lists this ribosomal RNA (110 nucleotides) under pig gut metagenome. The record is from RNAcentral.
GUAACGAUGGCUGAGGGGUUCCACCUGUUCCCAUACCGAACACAGAAGUUAAGCCCUCAAACGCUGAUGGUACUUGGCUGGCAACGGCCCGGGAGAGUAGGUAGUCGCCG